CUACGGGUCCUCUGUCACUCCACGGCCACAGCCCUGCGCUUCCUGGUGGAGAAUCAUGGCUGGAGCACCAACUUCCUCACCACGGCUUGGUUCUUGGAACAGUACCUGAAGGCGUCCAAGGCAGGGUCCUACGAACUGGACGAUGCCUCCUUUUACCUGGCUGACCUCGCAGACUUGGAUGUACAACCUGCUGUGCCCACCGACAUUUUUCUUGAGGAGAGGCACGAGACCCAUGUCCCCUCCAUGGUCAUCGGUUG
Molecule: long non-coding RNA, 257 nt
Filed under: Ixodes scapularis (black-legged tick)
Lineage: Eukaryota; Metazoa; Arthropoda; Arachnida; Ixodida; Ixodidae
Description: uncharacterized LOC120841409
Source: RNAcentral